GAGAAGAGUUGGAAACACAGAAACUGCUAAUUAUCUGACACGUGGUUAAACUCCACGAUCUACUCA
RNAcentral lists this transfer RNA (66 nucleotides) under Amphiuma means (two-toed amphiuma). RNAcentral describes it as "tRNA-Ser". The record is from RNAcentral. Lineage: Eukaryota; Metazoa; Chordata; Amphibia; Caudata; Amphiumidae.